Pogoniulus pusillus (Red-fronted tinkerbird) is the source of this 638-nucleotide long non-coding RNA. RefSeq lists it as uncharacterized. The transcript is spliced from 3 exons. The record is from RefSeq and is a predicted model, not a curated record. NCBI's taxonomy places the organism in Eukaryota, Metazoa, Chordata, Aves, Piciformes, Lybiidae.
GGUGCAGGACAAUGCGGCUGUCAAGGGACUGAACCUGCUCUCAUGAGAACUGCACAGCACAUGAAAGGGCAGAAAUAUGCCUGCUGGCUAGACAAAUUAUCCCAGAGCCAUGCACUUCUCCAGAUGCAGAUUCUGAGACAAAACCAAACUUGGAUCUCAUCCAUCCACCCUUAGUACUUGAGACAGCUUUGUGGAAAAAUGGCCAUGAUUUUUGACACUGUUGGUCCAAGACUUCAUGACUUGCACAAGAAAGUGAAAUAGAAGGCACUGGAGAUGUUGGCUUUGAUGAUACCACUGCUCAGAGAUGCUUUAUAGCUAGUGCUGUACGGUGUGGUGUCAGCAGUCAGUAACAACCUGACUCAAAGCACCUGGGGAUUUAUGUUGCAGCUCUGAAAGGGCUGGAAGAAUCCAUUGCUCGUCUAGUUCCACCAGGGAAGGAGACUCAGGCUGCUCCAUGUGGCUUGCAGAAGAUACAUAUAUCUGCUUGGUGAAACUCCAGUGAAGUGUUUCUAGUCUGGUGAGAUGCAUCCAUGCCUGGAUUUCCCUUUGGAUCUGCUGGUGUAGCUUCAGAAGCACGCUGGCAGUACUUGUGCUACUACUGUCAUCGCUGCAGCUGCAACCAGAAGUUUCUGGUCCUU